This 253-nucleotide ribosomal RNA is filed under the name uncultured bacterium. RNAcentral describes it as "partial 16S ribosomal RNA". It matches the Rfam family "Bacterial small subunit ribosomal RNA", at positions 524 to 776 of the family's 1533-position model. The record is from RNAcentral.
UACGUAGGUGGCAAGCGUUGUCCGGAAUUAUUGGGCGUAAAGCGCGCGCAGGCGGUCCUUUAAGUCUGAUGUGAAAGCCCACGGCUCAACCGUGGAGGGUCAUUGGAAACUGGGGGACUUGAGUGCAGGAGAGAAGAGUGGAAUUCCACGUGUAGCGGUGAAAUGCGUAGAGAUGUGGAGGAACACCAGUGGCGAAGGCGGCAUCCUGGACCGAUAUUGACGCUGAUGCGCGAAAGCCAGGGGAGCAAACGGG